AUUGAACGCUGGCGGCAGGCCUAACACAUGCAAGUCGAACGGUAACAGGAAGAAGCUUGCUUCUUUGCUGACGAGUGGCGGACGGGUGAGUAAUGUCUGGGAAACUGCCUGAUGGAGGGGGAUAACUACUGGAAACGGUAGCUAAUACCGCAUAACGUCGCAAGACCAAAGAGGGGGACCUUCGGGCCUCUUGCCAUCGGAUGUGCCCAGAUGGGAUUAGCUAGUAGGUGGGGUAACGGCUCACCUAGGCGACGAUCCCUAGCUGGUCUGAGAGGAUGACCAGCCACACUGGAACUGAGACACGGUCCAGACUCCUACGGGAGGCAGCAGUGGGGAAUAUUGCACAAUGGGCGCAAGCCUGAUGCAGCCAUGCCGCGUGUAUGAAGAAGGCCUUCGGGUUGUAAAGUACUUUCAGCGGGGAGGAAGGGAGUAAAGUUAAUACCUUUGCUCAUUGACGUUACCCGCAGAAGAAGCACCGGCUAACCCCGUG
Molecule: ribosomal RNA, 490 nt
Filed under: uncultured bacterium
Lineage: Bacteria
Description: partial 16S ribosomal RNA
Rfam family: Bacterial small subunit ribosomal RNA
Source: RNAcentral